GCCUGGCUGGCUUAGUCGGUAAGACAUGUGACUCUUGAUCUCAGGGUUGUGAGUUCAAGCCACAUGCUAGGUG
This 73-nucleotide transfer RNA is filed under the name Canis lupus familiaris (dog). It matches the Rfam family "tRNA". Rfam says of the family: Transfer RNA (tRNA) molecules are approximately 80 nucleotides in length. Their secondary structure includes four short double-helical elements and three loops (D, anti-codon, and T loops). Further hydrogen bonds mediate the characteristic L-shaped molecular structure. tRNAs have two regions of fundamental functional importance: the anti-codon, which is responsible for specific mRNA codon recognition, and the 3' end, to which the tRNAs corresponding amino acid is attached (by aminoacyl-tRNA synthetases). tRNAs cope with the degeneracy of the genetic code in two manners: having more than one tRNA (with a specific anti-codon) for a particular amino acid; and 'wobble' base-pairing, i.e. permitting non-standard base-pairing at the 3rd anti-codon position. The record is from Rfam by way of RNAcentral. Lineage: Eukaryota; Metazoa; Chordata; Mammalia; Carnivora; Canidae. RNAcentral also lists the same sequence under 2 other names.